GUUCUCCCUGUGGCGGCAGGGCGGUGUGAGCGGUCCCGCAGGGCCCCCGGGCCACGUGUCCACCCCUGGAACUCGCCCAGCCAGCGGCUGGCUCCUUCCUCUUUUACUGCCUGCGCCUUGCACACUCGCUCCACCGACUUGGAUUUGUUUUGCUACAUUCUACUUUUCUGGGAAUUUGCCGAUUUCCACCCGUUUUUCAAUCUCAUUACUACUGCUUUAACGACGAGGACGUGGCGAUGUCCUCUUUUCACAUCUGUGAUGUGAGUUAAAUGUGCCUUCCCCCCCCAUUCUGAACAGUCAUGGUGGAGGUUCGUGCACUCUCUUCAUUGGUUGAAGAUGAAACUUUGUUGAUCCUCUUUUAGGUUUUUCUACCUUACUGAGUUUACUUUUAUAUUCUCCCACUUUGUUGCGGUUUAUUUUGCUGUUCUUUUUCCAGCUUCAUGAGAUGGUUGCUGAGCUCAUGAUUUUGCAGCUUUUCUUUUCUAAUAUGUAAGUUUUAGGUUAGGCAUUGCCCUCCAAGUACUGCAUUAGCUGAAUCUCACAGCUUUUAUAUGUAUUACUUUAAUUAUCAUGCACUUUAUUUAUUUAAGAGAGAGAGUGCCAGCAAGGGGUGGCGGAUGGACAGGCAGACUCCACACUGAGCACGGAGGCGGAUGGGGGGCUUGAUCUCAAGUGAGAUCAUGAGGCAAACUGAAAUCAAGAGGCAGAUGCUUAAGGGACUGAGCCAUCCAGGCGCCCCUUUAUGCAGUUAUAUUUUCUGAUGUCCACUCUAUCUUCUUUGAUCUGUGGAUUAGUUGGAAGUAUAUUUCUUGAAUUUAUAAACAUUUGGGGAUUCUUUCUAGUUAUCUUUAUUUCUAGCAUAAUUGCUUUGGAAACACAGUAUACUGGUAUAAUCUCAGUUCUUUGAAAUUUGCUGAAAGACCCAGUAUAUGGUCAGUUUUUGCAGAUGUUCCAUGUAUACCUGAAGAGAAAGUGUUUACUGCAGUUGUUCAGUACAGUGUUCUAUAAUUGGUAGAUUCUAUGGUUCAAACUUUUUUUCCCCUGUUUCUAGCCAUUACUAAGAGCUUUGUUAAAAUUUCCUAUAUUGGUUGUAAAUUAAUCCAUUUCUCCUUGUAUUUCUACCAGCUUUUGUGGUAAAUAUUUUGAGGCUGUGUUUUUUAGGUACAUGAUAGGUUCAAAUUUAAAACCCAUCUUAGUGAAUUGAACCUUUAUCAUUAUGUCCCCCUUACCUCCCAUCUUACCUUUUGUUUUAAAGUCUGUUUUGCAACAUUAAUAUAGCUACAGCAGCUUUUGUUUGUUAUUUCUCUGGACAUAUCUUUUUCCAUCCUGUUAUUCCAAUCUUUUUUUCUUACUUAGAUGUAGCUCUUGUAAAACACAUAUAGUUGGAUUUUUAAAACUUAUCUGAAAUCUUAUACCUGUAAUGGGAGUAAUUAAUGUAAUUACUGAUAUGUUGGAUUUAAAUCUAUCUUGUUUUUUUCUUUGUGUUCUCCUUUUUUGGACCUCAGGUGCACAACUUUGGAUUAGUCAUGAUCCUUGCUACACGACACCCUCUUUUUAUUGGUCCUUGCAUGGCCUGCUUGACCACCAGAAGAACCUCUAAACAAAAGGUAGAAUCCUGAAAUGUACAUCUAACCAUAUGGAAAACUCACCAAUCCAUCCCCUUCUCAGGAAUUUCUCGAGUAUGUAACUAGAAGUGGAACCGCUGGGCUAUAGAGUCUGAUAUUCUUCUUUAGGAGAUUUUAUUUAUUUGACAGAGACAUAGCGUGAGAAGGAACACAAGCAGGCGGAGCGGAAGAGCGAGAAGCAGGCUUCCCGCUGAGCAGGGAGCCUGAUGCGGGGCUCGAUCCCAGGACUCUGGGAUCAUGACCUGAGCCGAAGGCAGACGCUUAACGACUGAGCCACCCAGGCGCCCCUGUCAAUCUGAUUCUUUAUCCUUCAUUGUAAUCUGCUUGUAGUCCUCUCUUGAAGCUACUAGAAUUUUCUCUUUGGCAUUUUUAAUUUUCACUAUAGUGUGGUCUUGGUGAAAGCUUUUCUUUAUCUCUUGUCUCUGGAACUCCACAGGCCCUUCAACUCAAGGUCUCCCAUCUCUGUUUUUAUUCUGGGAAAUUUAUCUCCAUUAUUUAACUAUUUCUCUUUCCUUUCCAUUUUUAUUUCUUUCUUUCCCUUCCAGGAUUCCAGUUAAACAUUAUUUUAGUGGUUGUUCUAGGAAUUAUGCAGACUUCACAUAGCCAAAAGUUAUCGCACAUCUUGACCUUCCUGAGUUGCACAAAGGCCUUUGAGAAGUUUCCUUCCAUUUAUCCCUCUUCUGACUUAUAUGAUCACACAGUUGUAUUUUGUUUAGAUUCUAAAACCCGCAAGACAUUUCUAUUCUUAUUUACUGUUCACUUAGGUUUUGUUCUUCAUUCAUUCACACAUCUCAGAUCUUCCAUCUGGGAUCACUUUCCUUCUGCAGGAGGUAUAUCCUUUAAUGUGGGUCUGCUGGUGGCAAAAUGAGUUUUUAUUAGUCUGAAAAUAAAAUAUUUCAACACUCUGUAAACAUGUUCUUGCUGGGUGUAUAAUCAUCGGCUGGCAGUGAGUCUUUCUGCACAUGGAAGAUCUCAUUUGACCGUCUUCAAGCUUCCAUCAUUGCUGAGGAAGAGACCGCUGUCAGUCUGCUAUUCCUCAGAAAGUCAUACAGGUCUUUUUCACAACUCUUUGAUUUAGUUUCAACAGUUCCACUGUAUAGAUUUGGUGUGGAAGAUUCUUUUCUGUUUGCUCUUCAGAUAUGGUCUCUUUCUUUCUAGACUCUGACUAGAAGUACCCUAGACCCUGCUCUCAAACCUGACGUGCGCAUGGCUGCCCUCGGGAUCUUCCUGAGAUUCUCACUCUUAUGGGCUCCCAGGGCUGCUGGUGAUGCUGCUCCAGGGACUCCCUCUGGGUCACUAGGUGGUAAGCUUUCUCUCUGUUAGCUUUUUGUCUUUGCCAGGUUUUGUCUCUCUAUUUGAAGUGUUUCUUCUCUUCUGUUGAUGGAUUGUAUUAAACCUUCCCCAUUGGAGUUCUCAAGUUCAGUUACUUAAUUUUUCCUUUGUAGAAUUUGUUUUGCUCUCUUUGGAACCUGCUGUGUCACUUUUUAUAGUUUUCUGUUUCUUGCACUGAUUUUCACAUUUGGUUUUCAUUCCUUGGACUGUGGGGACUCUGUCCUUAUCAGCCUGUUUAAAGUCUGCAUAGAACUUGCUACCACCGGAUAAGGUCACGCUUAUUUACGGCCGAGUGUCUGGCUCCCACACUGGGAUGUCAGCUGCAGAACACCGUCUCUGCCUGCGUGUGGACAGAACCGUCCCGACCCCAGUGCCUGCUGCUCGCUUCUUGCCUGGCCGGCAGGCUCCCUGGCCUGUCCUCUGCCCCUUGCCUCUGUUUCCCGCUCCCUGCCUGCUCUUUACCCGCCCUGCAGCCCCACUCACGGCAGCGGGUACUUCUUCCACAACAG
Mirounga angustirostris (Northern elephant seal) is the source of this 3466-nucleotide long non-coding RNA. RefSeq lists it as uncharacterized. NCBI's taxonomy places the organism in Eukaryota, Metazoa, Chordata, Mammalia, Carnivora, Phocidae. The transcript has 3 exons. The record is from RefSeq and is a predicted model, not a curated record.